AUGGCGAAAUCGUCUAAAUCAGUGCUGUACCAAAAUCUUGCUGGAGAAUCAUUAGUAAUAGACACCAAAUCAUCUUCCUAUAGAGAUGUUAUUCUUCAGAAAGUAAAACUGAAAUAUACUGAAGCAGUUCCAUCUUUUUCAAAGAGAAUUGAGCAGAGAUUUGCCGUUGACAAAUUGGUAUCUGGACAGUGUCGAAUAUGUGGAUUGAAAGAAAAGUCAUGCUGCAAAAUUUUCGAAACCGAUGAAACCCUGAGCAAGCUUGUGAAUACUUACAUGCCAAUCACGGUCCAUAAAUAUGACGUGUUACCGCUAAAUGUUUGUCUCGAGUGUUUGGGAACCCUGCAAACCAUUGAUGAUCUUGCAUAUAGAUGUUAUCUCACGGAAGCGUGCUUAUUGCAACACUACAAAGAUUAUAAAGACACUUCAAUAUUCCUGGACCCAAUUCAGGAGGAAGAAGAAAAACCGUACACACCAUUGCAUUUGCGGUUGCCAAGAAGUAGGGAAACUCCUCACCCAGCCGCAACUGUUGGGUUUCCUGCAAGGAGGAAAGGUAGCUCCAUACAUAGUCGGUUUUAUACUGAAAGUGAUAAGAUACAAGAAACCUUGAACCAGAGUAAAGCUGAAGCCCAAAUCUUGCUAAACCAACAGAAUGAUGAAGGAGAUUCAUCUCCCACUGAAGGUAAAGACAGUUGCUCCUAGUUAAUGCAAAGAAUCUUGCACCCAGCCUUUGGCCAUGCAGCUCUUAAUGACUUUGAUAUGAAAUCUUCAUCAGUAGAUUCUGUAAAUCACACCAAAUGAACUCAUUAAAAAUUUGUCUGCUUUUCGCGUAACUACUUUUGAGUUGUAAUCUCAUAUCAGCCUCUGUAGGGUAAACGCUCAAGAGUCAGAGAGUUUUGUCGGUGCAAAAGCGAGCACAUCUAGUGGAGGAAAUUUUGUAUCAGUAUUUAUUUUUAUAACAGGAUUUUUUUUUUAAACAGGAACGGGGCAACAAAGCAGGGUGUCUAGCAACCGGGAAAACCAGGAAACGUCGGGGAAUUUUUUUUGAGUCAGGGAAAACCGGGAAAAACGUCAGGGAAUUCGCAAAAAGUGGGAGUGUCAGGGAAAUUUUCUUUUUUUUGUGUCAGGGAAAACGUCAGGGAAUUCGCGAAAAGUUGAAUUCGAGGAAUUUUUUCAAAAAGCGACGAGAUCGCAAUUUUUCGCCAAGUGUAACCGCGAUCUCGCAAGAAGUUUCGUGCAAGUUUUGUCAACUUCUUACGUGUAUUUACGAAAUGCGUUGUGUGUGGUUGCAUAGUCAAGCGGCGCUACUUGAUUCCCUUCUGUCUGAUCGCUACCGCGCUCUGGCGGAAGUCGCUGCGCCCGGUUCGGCCAUGCGAUUUUCAUCAAAUUAACCUCAAAGUCUUGCACAUCAAUGUACCCCGGUGAAUUAAUUUUUUUUCUUUAUAAGACAAAUAAGUGAAAGGAUGUCUUGUUUUCAGGGUAUUCAGCAGAAUUAAAUUGAAUGUUGAUCAUAUUUUACCUAUGAGAACAACUCUUGAUUCAUCUCCUCAAUUUUGGAAUGUUAUAUGCAAUCAGUGAAGUUCAAGGCACUUUGAGAGUCCUUUUACUGAAGAUAGUUUUUUACAUGCUCACUGCCGUCAAAUUCAUACUGGACGCCAGAUAUUGUCAAGGGAUGUCACUAUUAAAUGCAUACCUCUAGGAUUUCGCUUUUUUUUCUGCUAUUUCUUGUGACUGGCUAAAUUUUCUGGAUCUCGCAAAUGCCUCAAGAAUUCUGUCGAUUUAAACGAGUUGAUUAUCAUGAAUUUUUUUUUUACAAAAUUGUCGAGCGUCAGAGAAUUUUUGCUCUUUGUCAGGGAAACGUCAGGGAAUUUUUUUUCCCUGAUGUCAGGGAAUUUUUAUUAUUUUGUCAGGGAAAUCAGGGAAAUGUCAGGGAAUUCGCCUUCUGAAAAUCACUAGACGCCCUGCAAAGUAAAGUAACAAACAAGUAAAACAAAAGUAAUAAAUCAGUGAUAUUUCGUGUGCCAAAGAGAAUAAAUAAUCUUUCAAUGUUUUACUGAAUUCCUUAGAUGACAUAAUUUUUUGCUUUCUAAAAGUUUCAAUUAUCUCAUAUUUU
RNAcentral lists this long non-coding RNA (2110 nucleotides) under Bemisia tabaci. RNAcentral's name for it is "lncRNA ENSASIAIIG012371". Lineage: Eukaryota; Metazoa; Arthropoda; Insecta; Hemiptera; Aleyrodidae. The record is from RNAcentral.